This 390-nucleotide ribosomal RNA is filed under the name Adriamonas peritocrescens. RNAcentral's name for it is "partial small subunit ribosomal RNA". It matches the Rfam family "Eukaryotic small subunit ribosomal RNA", at positions 30 to 432 of the family's 1831-position model. The record is from RNAcentral. Lineage: Eukaryota; Bigyra; Bicosoecida; Siluaniidae.
GCUUGUCUCAAAGAUUAAGCCAUGCAUGUCUAAGUAUAAGCAUUUAUACAGUGAAACUGCGAAUGGCUCAUUACAUCAGUUAUAGUUUAUUUGAUAGUCCCCACUACUUGGAUAACCGUAGUAAUUCUAGAGCUAAUACAUGCGUCAAGUCCCUACCGCGCGAGCGGGAAGGAUGUGUUUAUUAGAUACAACCAACCCUUCGGGUCCCUGGUGAUUCAUAAUAACUUUCGGAUCGAUCUUCGGAUCGAUGCAUCAUUCAAGUUUCUGCCCUAUCAGCUUUGGAUGGUAGGGUAUUGGCCUACCAUGGCUUUAACGGGUAACGGAGAAUUAGGGUUCGAUUCCGGAGAGGGAGCCUGAGAAAUGGCUACCACAUCCAAGGAAGGCAGCAGG